GCACCUAGGGUCGCCCACUUGCACCUGCCGCUGCCGACAUCAGUGCCAACUGCUCCACCGCUCAACCACUCCUACAAACACGCAAGAAACAAUGCAAAACAGUAGAAAAAAUAGAUAAAAUACAUUGUAGAUUGGCUAUAAAGAGCCCAAAAACAGAUUGUAAAAGGGGGAAGUUUUUUUAGAGAAAUAAAAAGCAAAGAUCAAACAUCAAUAAAAAAAAACGCAAGCAACUAAAGGGAUUUGAAAAAACGAAAACGCAAAGGUUUUAUUUAUUUAUUUUCAAACUCUUUUUUUAUACGUUUUUUUAUAUAUAUACACAUAAAUAUAUAGCAAAAAAAAGAAAAAAGUUACCUUUUCGAAUUUUCCGGCAACCGUGGACGGUAGUGCCGUCACUGGAAACCGGCAGCCGCCACGGUGGUCCGGCGCCAGAGCCUUCGCCGGACCUUGGGCUCCGACCAGAGGGAGAGGGGAGAGCUCUCAGC
Molecule: long non-coding RNA, 482 nt
Filed under: Gossypium barbadense (sea-island cotton)
Lineage: Eukaryota; Viridiplantae; Streptophyta; Magnoliopsida; Malvales; Malvaceae
Description: long non-coding RNA (GBAR_LNC017794)
Source: RNAcentral